RNAcentral lists this ribosomal RNA (492 nucleotides) under uncultured bacterium. RNAcentral describes it as "partial 16S ribosomal RNA". It matches the Rfam family "Bacterial small subunit ribosomal RNA", at positions 29 to 507 of the family's 1533-position model. The record is from RNAcentral.
AGUGAACGCUGGCGGUAGGCCUAACACAUGCAAGUCGAACGGCAGCACAGUAAGAGCUUGCUCUUACGGGUGGCGAGUGGCGGACGGGUGAGGAAUACAUCGGAAUCUACUUUUUCGUGGGGGAUAACGUAGGGAAACUUACGCUAAUACCGCAUACGACCUACGGGUGAAAGCAGGGGAUCUUCGGACCUUGCGCGAUUGAAUGAGCCGAUGUCGGAUUAGCUAGUUGGCGGGGUAAAGGCCCACCAAGGCGACGAUCCGUAGCUGGUCUGAGAGGAUGAUCACCCCCACUGGAACUGAGACACGGUCCAGACUCCUACGGGAGGCAGCAGUGGGGAAUAUUGGACAAUGGGCGCAAGCCUGAUCCGGCCAUACCGCGUGGGUGAAGAAGGCCUUCGGGUUGUAAAGCCCUUUUGUUGGGAAAGAAAAGCAGCAGGUUAAUACCCCGCUGUUCUGACGGUACCCAAAGAAUAAGCACCGGCUAACUUCGUG